This 407-nucleotide ribosomal RNA is filed under the name uncultured bacterium. RNAcentral's name for it is "partial 16S ribosomal RNA". It matches the Rfam family "Bacterial small subunit ribosomal RNA", at positions 30 to 526 of the family's 1533-position model. The record is from RNAcentral.
AUUGAACGCUGGCGGCAGGCCUAACACAUGCAAGUCGAGCGGAGCGGCGGACGGGUGAGUAAUGCCUAGGAAUCUGCCUGGUCGUGGGGGAUAACGUCCGGAAACGGGCGCUAAUACCGCAUACUAUCAGAUGAGCCUAGGUCGGAUUGGCUAGUGGGUGGGGUAAUGGCCUACCAAGGCGACGAUCCGUAACUGGUCUGAGAGGAUGAUCAGUCAAACUGGAACGGGGACACGGUCCAGACUCCUACGGAGGGCAGCAGUGGGGAAUAUUGGACAAUGGGCGAAAGCCUGAUGCGGCCAUGCCGCGUGGGUGAAGAAGGUCUUCGGAUUGUAAAGCCUGUUAAGUUGGGAGGCGUUACCAACAGAAUAAGCACCGGCUAACUUCGUGCCAGCAGCCGCGGUAAUUC